This 1207-nucleotide long non-coding RNA is filed under the name Equus caballus (horse). RNAcentral describes it as "lncRNA (ENSECAG00000053898.1)". The record is from RNAcentral. Lineage: Eukaryota; Metazoa; Chordata; Mammalia; Perissodactyla; Equidae.
AUAUAUAUAUAUAAUUUUUUUUUGAUUUGGAAGAUUCUUGUUUAAAAAAGUCAACACAAAAAUAAUCUGUGACCUUCAUAAGUAUCGAGUUUGUUUUCAGUAAGAUGUGAAAUAUCAAACUCAGUAAUUUUCAUUGGCUAUAAUUAAUAUAUACAAACUCUUUUAAAGAAAUUCUGAAACGUUUUUUGUCUGAAAUCUGGAGAGAGUUUGAAUGUGGAACCCAGACCUCAGGUCUUCCCUGUAGCUUUGCCUGUAUUGCAACUUGUCAUUGACCAAGUCCUGAUGCCCAAGAUGUUUUUGCUUACUCAAGGCCUGUUCUCCAAGUUUAAGCUGUGGCACGCUCAGGGGAGUCAGAGUGUGAGAAAGGUAAUUGUCACGUAGGUUCACGGCGCGUGUGUGUGAAUCUGGGCCAUGAAGAAGAUGCUUGAUAUGGAUGGUUCACAGGGAGGGAAGCACUAAAGGAAAACAAAGGCUGCAAAGGAAGAACACAAGAUGUAUAGUAAGGGAAGCAAAGAGUCUGCCCGUCUUGAGUGGACUGUCCAUCUCAUAGAAUGGAGAAAGAGAAAUACGAUGGAACAACGGCCUGGGCUGCCAUGUUGGAAGACACACCACAUCCGGAAGAGCCACGUUCACUGCCAAGGAGAAAUCGACGUGCACUUUGUGUUACUGAAUGCCACAAAGGUUAUGAUGAAUUUGGAGAUGUUUGUAAAAUAAUAGUCCUGAGAGCUUCACAUGGACUCCAUGGGACGUUUGGCUUAGUCCCUACUCUGAGGCUGAUAAAUCAUAUCGCAACUCUGCAAACGAGUCAACAGAAGCGCUGGGAAGUUAAGUGACGCUCUAGGCCUUGCAUCUUGUUUGAGUAUUGUGAGUGGGGAACUAGAACACAGAAGAUGCCCAUCAGCUUGUGUAGAGUUUCCUUCAUUGCAUCACACUGCAUUUUAACUAUUUAUUUAUUUAUUUUUCACUUUAAAAAAGUUUUAUUAUGGAAUUUAUUAAUUCCAAAUAUAUCCAAAAUUACAGAAUAGUAUAAAAACCCUCAUCUGCCCAACAUCCAGAUUAAAUAAUGAUCAACUUAUGGUCAAUCUUCUUCCGUCUACACCCCAAUUUACUUUCCUUCCCCCAUAUUUUUUUGAAGUAAACCCUAGACAUUACACACAAUGGACACACACAAAAGAUAAUAUUUAAGUUUAUAUUGAUGCUUCCAAAG